GACCGCGUAGCUCAGUUGGCAGAGCAUUGGGCUAGUAUUCCAAAGGUCGUAGGUUCGAUUCCCCCCGUGGUCA
Paramuricea clavata is the source of this 73-nucleotide non-coding RNA. NCBI's taxonomy places the organism in Eukaryota, Metazoa, Cnidaria, Anthozoa, Malacalcyonacea, Plexauridae. The record is from the annotation of a GenBank genome assembly.